GACUCCUACGAGAGCCGAACUCCGCCAACAACUUCAAUCGCAAGUGGACUCCGCCCGGACUCCUAUGGGAGCCGGGCUCCGUCCUCAACGUCAGCUGCCGGUAAGCCCUGUCCGGACUCCUACGGGAGCCGGACUUUGCAUCUGAUUUCGAUUGCAGGGGAUUCCACCCGGACUCCCACGGGAGCCGGGCUCCACCCACUACCCCAACCACAAGGAGGACUCCGCCCGGACCCCUACGUGGGGUCAGACUCCGACCACAGCCGAACUUCAGCUGAC
RNAcentral lists this long non-coding RNA (276 nucleotides) under Elaeis guineensis (African oil palm). RNAcentral's name for it is "long non-coding RNA (EGUI_LNC061512)". The record is from RNAcentral. Lineage: Eukaryota; Viridiplantae; Streptophyta; Magnoliopsida; Arecales; Arecaceae.